Molecule: ribosomal RNA, 247 nt
Filed under: uncultured bacterium
Lineage: Bacteria
Description: partial 16S ribosomal RNA
Rfam family: Bacterial small subunit ribosomal RNA
Source: RNAcentral
ACACGUAGGGGGCGAGCGUUGUUCGGAAUUACUGGGCGUAAAGGGCAUGUAGGCGGCUUUGUAAGCUUGGCGUGAAAUUCCACGGCUUAACCGUGGGAAUGCGUUGAGAACUGCGAGGCUUGAGUGACGGAGAGGGAGCUAGAAUUCCUGGUGUAGGGGUGGAAUCUGUAGAGACCAGGAAGAAUACCAAUGGCGAAGGCAAGCUCCUGGCCGAUGACUGACGCUGAGGUGCGAAAGUGUGGGGAUC